This is a long non-coding RNA of Trematomus bernacchii (emerald rockcod), 876 nucleotides long. RefSeq lists it as uncharacterized. The record is from RefSeq and is a predicted model, not a curated record. NCBI's taxonomy places the organism in Eukaryota, Metazoa, Chordata, Actinopteri, Perciformes, Nototheniidae. The transcript has 2 exons.
AGUGUUUCAGCUCCAGGAUGCAAAGUGAGCAUGUGCUGAUCGUGGGGAGAUGAUGUUUCUCUGGCAAGAGUACAGCAGCACUGCAGCAAUUUUACUGUUUUAACGUUUUCCAAAUAACUUUUAUACUGUCAAGAUAACUUUCAAAGAUUGUUUACUGUAACCAGCUACCUUGUUUCCUGCUCUGACAUCCAUUUACACUCAGGUUUUACUAUCCAAUAGUAUGAAUAUAAUUAAAAAUAGGCAAAUAUAUUAUUAGAUAAUAGCAACACUGACUUUAAAUGGUGUUUUAUUGUACUUCCUUUUGUAGUAGUAUAGACAUGUUUGGACUUUUCAGUCUCAUCCUGUGUAAUUAAUUCAACAGAUUGUUCAAGGAAGACAAAUGUGUGAACAAAGUCUCUUGAGUGUUAUUGGAGUGCAUUUUGCAUUAAAAAAAAUCAUUAUUUAAUUUCUUUACUCAUAAAAAGGUUAAGUAUGGUAUAGGGCGGCUGUGGCGCUGUGGAUUAGAGCAUUGGUGUUCGGAUCAGGGGAGCACAGGUUCAAACCCCACUGGGGAUUGUCCACAGUAUUGAGUAUGUAAGUCGCUUUGGAUAAAAGCGUCUAACAAGUAACAUGUAAUGUAAUGUAAUCAUUAGUAAUUGUUUUAAGUUUUGACAGCUUUUCGUUAACCCAAGUUUUUACAAUGGAUAUGAAUAUGUGUGAUUUUAUUAAAAGAAAAUGUAACUCCCAACAUUAUUUUCAAUGGCACUUUAUUUUAAGGAAUAAUCACGUUAGGAUAAGAGGGUUUCAUAAAGUAUAAAUUAUGAAUGUAUGUUUUGUGAAAGUCAGAAUUUGACUUUGUAUGAUAAUGCUUGUUUUGAUAAACCUGCUUGUACUUGA